AGUUCGACCGGAUCGACCGCUCGCGUCACCGUCAGGUAAUCACGCAGCGCGAUUCCGUGCCUUCCCUC
RNAcentral lists this small RNA (68 nucleotides) under Paractinoplanes brasiliensis. RNAcentral's name for it is "Actinoplanes brasiliensis ASdes TB sRNA". It matches the Rfam family "ASdes TB sRNA". Lineage: Bacteria; Bacillati; Actinomycetota; Actinomycetes; Micromonosporales; Micromonosporaceae. The record is from RNAcentral.